GGUUGCAUAGUGUAGUGGUUAUCACUCCAGAUUUUGAUUCUGGUAACCCCGGUUCGGUAUGUUGAGCCUCUAAAUCUUCUUAUACUGUCACUAACUAGUCUCCAGAACCCGGGUGCGACCU
Molecule: transfer RNA, 121 nt
Filed under: Bipolaris sorokiniana ND90Pr
Lineage: Eukaryota; Fungi; Ascomycota; Dothideomycetes; Pleosporales; Pleosporaceae
Description: tRNA-Gln (TTG) (tRNA-Gln-TTG-1-1)
Rfam family: tRNA
About the family: Transfer RNA (tRNA) molecules are approximately 80 nucleotides in length. Their secondary structure includes four short double-helical elements and three loops (D, anti-codon, and T loops).
Source: RNAcentral